Molecule: ribosomal RNA, 111 nt
Organism: Erwinia sp. Leaf53
Lineage: Bacteria; Pseudomonadati; Pseudomonadota; Gammaproteobacteria; Enterobacterales; Erwiniaceae
Source: Rfam
UUUUGCGUCUUCAGCCCGGUGGUCCCGCCUGACCCCAUGCCGGACUCAGAAGUGAAACGCCGUAGCGCCGAGGGUAGUGUGGGGCCUCCCCAUGCGAGAGCAGGACAAAAU